Molecule: ribosomal RNA, 915 nt
Filed under: uncultured archaeon
Lineage: Archaea
Description: bacterial SSU rRNA
Rfam family: Archaeal small subunit ribosomal RNA
Source: RNAcentral
UUCCGGUUGAUCCUGCCGGAGGUCACUGCUAUUGGGAUUCGACUAAGCCAUGCGAGUCGAGAGGGUUCGGCCCUCGGCAGACGGCUCAGUAACACGUGGAUAAUCUGCCCUUAGGCGGAGGAUAACCUCGGGAAACUGAGAAUAAUACUCCAUAGAUCUAGGAUGCUGGAAUGCACUUAGAUUGAAAGUUCCGGCGCCUAAGGAUGAGUCUGCGGACUAUCAGGUAGUAGUCAGGGUAAAGGCCUGACUAGCCUACGACGGAUACGGGUUGUGAGAGCAAUAACCCGGAGACGAUAUCUGAGACACGAUAUCGGGCCCUACGGGGCGCAGCAGGCGCGAAACCUUCACAAUGUGCGAAAGCACGAUGAGGGGAUCCCAAGUGCUUGCUCGUAAGAGUAAGCUGUUUUUAUGUCUAAAACGCAUAGAGAGUAAGGGCUGGGUAAGACGGGUGCCAGCCGCCGCGGUAAUACCUGCAGCUCAAGUGGUGACCGCUAUUAUUGGGCCUAAAACGUUCGUAGCCGGUUUGGUAAAUGCCUGGGUAAAUCGUGUAGCUUAACUAUACGAAUUCCGGGUAGACUGCCAAACUUGAGACCGGGAGAAGCUAGAGGUACUCCUUGGGUAGAGGUGAAAUUCUGUAAUCCUAGGGGGACCACCAGUGGCGAAGGCGUCUAGCUAGAACGGGUUUGACGGUGAGGAACGAAGCCCUGGGGCGCGAACCGGAUUAGAUACCCGGGUAGUCCAGGGUGUAAACGCUGCUUGCUUGAUGUUAGUUGGGCUCCGAGCCCAAUUAGUGUCGGAGAGAAGUUGUUAAGCAAGCUGCCUGGGAAGUACGAUCGCAAGAUUGAAACUUAAAGGAAUUGGCGGGGGAGCACAGCAACGGGUGGAGCGUGCGGUUUAAUUGGAUUCAACGCCGGG